RNAcentral lists this small RNA (27 nucleotides) under Bombyx mori (domestic silkworm). RNAcentral's name for it is "piRNA piR-bmo-1983160". Lineage: Eukaryota; Metazoa; Arthropoda; Insecta; Lepidoptera; Bombycidae. The record is from RNAcentral.
UCUGUUCGAGAAGUGGCGGAUGUAGGU